ACACAUGCAGGUCGAGGGGUAGAAUUAGCUUGCUAAUUUGAGACCGGCGCACGGGUGCGUAACGCGUAUGCAAUCUGCCUUGUACUGAGGGAUAGCCCAGAGAAAUUUGGAUUAAUACCUCAUAGCAUUAUGAAAUCGCAUGGUUUUAUAAUCAAAGUUCCAACGGUACAAGAUGAGCAUGCGUCCCAUUAGUUAGUUGGUAAGGUAACGGCUUACCAAGACGAUGAUGGGUAGGGGUCCUGAGAGGGAGAUCCCCCACACUGGUACUGAGACACGGACCAGACUCCUACGGGAGGCAGCAGUGAGGAAUAUUGGUCAAUGGGCGCAAGCCUGAACCAGCCAUGCCGCGUGCAGGAUGACGGUCCUAUGGAUUGUA
This 376-nucleotide ribosomal RNA is filed under the name uncultured bacterium. RNAcentral describes it as "bacterial SSU rRNA". It matches the Rfam family "Bacterial small subunit ribosomal RNA", at positions 51 to 427 of the family's 1533-position model. The record is from RNAcentral.